Molecule: ribosomal RNA, 253 nt
Filed under: uncultured bacterium
Lineage: Bacteria
Description: partial 16S ribosomal RNA
Rfam family: Bacterial small subunit ribosomal RNA
Source: RNAcentral
GACGAACCGUGCAAACGUUAUUCGGAAUCACUGGGCCUAAAGGGCGCGUAGGCGGCUCCAAAAGUCAGGGGUGAAAUCCGGCAGCUUAACUGUCGCAGUGCCUUUGAUACUGUGGAGCUAGAGGGAGGUAGGGGUCUGUGGAACUUCCGGUGGAGCGGUGAAAUGCGUUGAUAUCGGAAGGAACGCCGGUGGAGAAAGCGACGGACUGGAUCUCUUCUGACGCUGAGGCGCGAAAGCCAGGGGAGCAAACGGG